Molecule: long non-coding RNA, 493 nt
Filed under: Penaeus monodon (black tiger shrimp)
Lineage: Eukaryota; Metazoa; Arthropoda; Malacostraca; Decapoda; Penaeidae
Description: uncharacterized LOC119574345, transcript variant X1
Source: RNAcentral
CCCGAGCUCCGGGCACGCGAGCGGCGGCGAUCGAGGGCGUCCGUGGCGCCAGGGAGAGCGACGAGGACGACUCAAUGGACGUCGACGUUUCCGACGGGGACUGUUUCCGGGAAUCUCUCAUGACGACACAGAGGAGCUACGAAACCACUCUUCUCACAAAUAUUUUUCCUGCAAAAGCCAGGGAGUAAAAUGAUGUGGUUUCCUUAUUAACUUGUUGUGGGCGUGGCAGCGACAAAAACAACAGGUUGUCCGAGGAAAUCAAACAGUGGCAUGAUAUUCAAGAUCUGAUCAAAUGAGUCCCUGAUCUAAGCAUCGCCUUCAACAAAAUGUCUCCCAGGAGAAAAGCGAUAAAGAGGUGAGCGCUGGCAAUCCCCAAGACAAGGCAUCAGGCGAGUCCCAAAGUGCGUGCCAAUCCACACUGCGCUUGUAUGAAAAUCCUCGGGCAGUAUGAUAGCCUCCAAGUCUGCUUGAAUCAAAUGCAGUGACUUGCAAA